CCGAGUUAUACAACUCAUCAACCCUGUGAACUAUACCUAUACGUUGCCUCGGCGGAAGCUACCGGACCAGGUCCACGGGCGGCCCCAGCCGGCAGGAGGACCCAUAACUCUGUUCUAUAGUGAUUUCUUCUUGAGUAGUCAUAUAAAAGUA
This 151-nucleotide unclassified non-coding RNA is filed under the name soil metagenome. Its description in RNAcentral is "partial internal transcribed spacer 1". The record is from RNAcentral.